AACGAACGCUGGCGGCAUGCCUAACACAUGCAAGUCGAACGAGACCUUCGGGUCUAGUGGCGCACGGGUGCGUAACGCGUGGGAAUCUGCCCUUGGGUUCGGAAUAACAGUUGGAAACGACUGCUAAUACCGGAUGAUGACGUAAGUCCAAAGAUUUAUCGCCAAAGGAUGAGCCCGCGUAGGAUUAGCUAGUUGGUGAGGUAAAGGCUCACCAAGGCGACGAUCCUUAGCUGGUCUGAGAGGAUGAUCAGCCACACUGGGACUGAGACACGGCCCAGACUCCUACGGGAGGCAGCAGUGGGGAAUAUUGGACAAUGGGCGAAAGCCUGAUCCAGCAAUGCCGCGUGAGUGAUGAAGGCCUUAGGGUUGUAAAGCUCUUUUACCCGGGAUGAUAAUGACAGUACCGGGAGAAUAAGCUCCGGCUAACUCCGUG
This 433-nucleotide ribosomal RNA is filed under the name uncultured bacterium. Its description in RNAcentral is "partial 16S ribosomal RNA". It matches the Rfam family "Bacterial small subunit ribosomal RNA", at positions 29 to 507 of the family's 1533-position model. The record is from RNAcentral.